UUAUGAACCAGGGUAUUGCCUCCAACCAAGCCUUAACAAUCUCAUCCUCCCUUUAGCCUUCCAUGAUUAGACCUCAACUCAUGAGAACUCUUGCCUUGCUCACAAGUGGGAGUAAAUGCUCAUAGCUCUAGAAAUCUCCCAGGAACCAGACAUCACGGAAACUAGAAAGGCUAAGGGAGUCCAAUCUUCCUCUAAAUUGGCCAACAGUAGAGUGGUGGAAAGAGAACAAGCUGCAAACCAGACAGACCCAAGCUUGAAUCUCACCUCUGCCAAGCUACCAGGGUAUGGUCCAAGUAGGUUAUACAAGUCUCUACCUCUUCUAGCUGAAGCCAACCUCCCAGGAAAAGGAUGAGAGGAGAAAGCCAUCCUGCCUGGUGUGUGGAUAAUACCACCACCAGAGUCUCCUGUAAUUUUGAUUCGAUGGCAUGCAGCUGCGUGACCUAAGGCACGUAUCUCCAUUCACAGGGUGUGGUCAGUACUCGCUCAACAAACUACAGACCACGGGCCAA
RNAcentral lists this long non-coding RNA (509 nucleotides) under Homo sapiens (human). Its description in RNAcentral is "HSALNT0225722". Lineage: Eukaryota; Metazoa; Chordata; Mammalia; Primates; Hominidae. The record is from RNAcentral.